UGGGGAAUUUUGGACAAUGGGCGAAAGCCUCAUCCAGCAAUGCCGCGUGUGUGAAGAAGGCCUUCGGGUUGUAAAGCACUUUUGUCCGGAAAGAAAUCCUUGGCUCUAAUACAGUCGGGGGAUGACGGUACCGGAAGAAUAAGCACCGGCUAACUACGUGCCAGCAGCCGCGGUAAUACGUAGGGUGCAAGCGUUAAUCGGAAUUACUGGGCGUAAAGCGUGCGCAGGCGGUUUGCUAAGACCGAUGUGAAAUCCCCGGGCUCAACCUGGGAACUGCAUUGGUGACUGGCAGGCUAGAGUAUGGCAGAGGGGGGUAGAAUUCCACGUGUAGCAGUGAAAUGCGUAGAGAUGUGGAGGAAUACCGAUGGCGAAGGCAGCCCCCUGGGCCAAUACUGACGCUCAUGCACGAAAGCGUGGGGAGCAAACAGGAUUAGAUACCCUGGUAGUCCACGCCCUAAAACGAUGUCAACUAGUUGUUGGGGAUUCAUUUCCUUAGUAACGUAGCUAACGCGUGAAGUUGACCGCCUGGGGAGUACGGUCGCAAGAUUAAAACUCAAAUGAAUUGACGGGGUCAUAGCUGUUUCCU
Molecule: ribosomal RNA, 586 nt
Filed under: uncultured bacterium
Lineage: Bacteria
Description: partial 16S ribosomal RNA
Rfam family: Bacterial small subunit ribosomal RNA
Source: RNAcentral